GCCUCAAUGGCUCAGUUGGCUAGAGCGCAGGUCUCAUACAUUUGAGUGUGACUGGAAUGCAGUUUCCAGGCAAUCCUGAGGUCGCAAGUUCGAGCCUUGCUUGAGGCA
Pisolithus microcarpus 441 is the source of this 108-nucleotide transfer RNA. It matches the Rfam family "tRNA". Rfam says of the family: Transfer RNA (tRNA) molecules are approximately 80 nucleotides in length. Lineage: Eukaryota; Fungi; Basidiomycota; Agaricomycetes; Boletales; Pisolithaceae. The record is from Rfam.